Long non-coding RNA from Amphibalanus amphitrite, 929 nucleotides. RefSeq lists it as uncharacterized. The transcript is spliced from 3 exons. Lineage: Eukaryota; Metazoa; Arthropoda; Thecostraca; Balanomorpha; Balanidae. The record is from RefSeq and is a predicted model, not a curated record.
ACACUCAAGCCAAUCGGCCUUGAGGAGGAUAGACUCGUCGGACUGUAGCGGUUGUAAACAACUUGUCGCCCCGUGUGUCUGCCCGUGGCGCUAGUUAUCUGUCGAAGUUACCACUGACAAUGCCCAAAACAAGAACAACAAAGGCCCAAAGGUGGCUGUUUGGUAGUGCGCAAAGCUGCUGGUGGUGGUGGACGUCUCUGCCCUGACGCGCGGCGUGCGUCUGCUCAGUGUGGAGGUGCCGCUGACAGCGGUGCCGGCCGGACCGGCUGCCUCUCCGGCGGCCGACAUUGAGCGCGGCACGUGUCCGCCGCCGUUCGGGCCGCUGCAGCUGCUGCAGUCGGCGGCGCAGCUGUCCGUCUCCGUGUCGCUGGCCGUGCCGCUGGACCUGCUGCCGCGGCCGGCGCCGGCGCGCUGCGCCUACGGCCGCCUGCUGGCCGUCGUCUCGCAGCGCGGCCUGCAGCGCAGCGGCGUGCUGCAGCUCAUCCAGCAGCUCAACGAGCCGCCCAGCCCGGCGGCGGCCGAGGGCGCCGCGCCGCGCCGGCCCGGCGACGUCAGCACACCUGGCAUCAGCGGCUUCUGCCUGGCCGACCGUCAGCUGCACCUGCUGUUCGCCGAGGGGCGCGCCGACGCCGAGCUGGAACAGACGGCGGCCGCGCCGCGCGCUCUGCCGCGCCGCGACGCUCGACUCUGCCACCACUCGGGCCUACUGUUACGCCGUCCGCGCCAUCAGAGAGUGCUUCCGCACGCAGUGGCUGUCGGAAAAUGAACCUGCUUCCCAACGAGGCCGGCCUGCAACAACUGCUGGCCGGCUGUUGGCCGAAAAAAACGCCUUCAACCGGAUGUCAGUUGUCAAAUCAACGCGUAUUAAUGCAUUCACUAGGAUGGGCUUACGUAAAGCUGUAGAAUUGCAAAUAUAUAAUGGCACUGUU